This 376-nucleotide ribosomal RNA is filed under the name Hemidactylus barbierii. RNAcentral's name for it is "partial 12S ribosomal RNA". The stretch from base 46 to 376 matches the Rfam family "Bacterial small subunit ribosomal RNA", at positions 875 to 1384 of the family's 1533-position model. The record is from RNAcentral. Lineage: Eukaryota; Metazoa; Chordata; Lepidosauria; Squamata; Gekkonidae.
GCUCAGACGUAACCCCAGACAGACCAUUCAACACCCUGUCCGCCAGAGUAUUACAAGUGAAAAACUUAAAACUCAAAGGACUUGACGGCACUCCACACCCCUAGAGGAGCCUGUCCUAUAAUCGAUACCCCACGCUAAACCUUACCUGCCCACGCCCAACAGCCUAUAUACCGCCGUCCCAAGCCCGCCUCACAAGAGCCCCAGCGAGCCAGCAAGCCGCUCAAACGUCAGGUCAAGGUGUAGCUUAUGGGCAGGAAGAGAUGGGCUACAUUUUCUAAACCCAGAAAAACCCCCAGCACCGUGAAACCAAUGCCAAAAGGAGGAUUUAGAAGUAAGUUAGGCAAGAUGCCUGACUGAACCCCACCCUGGAGUGAGU